RNAcentral lists this transfer RNA (92 nucleotides) under Eubacteriales Family XIII. Incertae Sedis bacterium. RNAcentral describes it as "tRNA-Ser". It matches the Rfam family "tRNA". From Rfam's summary of the family: Transfer RNA (tRNA) molecules are approximately 80 nucleotides in length. Their secondary structure includes four short double-helical elements and three loops (D, anti-codon, and T loops). Further hydrogen bonds mediate the characteristic L-shaped molecular structure. tRNAs have two regions of fundamental functional importance: the anti-codon, which is responsible for specific mRNA codon recognition, and the 3' end, to which the tRNAs corresponding amino acid is attached (by aminoacyl-tRNA synthetases). tRNAs cope with the degeneracy of the genetic code in two manners: having more than one tRNA (with a specific anti-codon) for a particular amino acid; and 'wobble' base-pairing, i.e. permitting non-standard base-pairing at the 3rd anti-codon position. The record is from RNAcentral. Lineage: Bacteria; Bacillati; Bacillota; Clostridia; Peptostreptococcales; Anaerovoracaceae.
GGAGAAGUACUCAAGCAGGUUGAAGAGGACGGUUUGCUAAACCGUUAGGCCGGGUUACCGGUGCAUGGGUUCAAAUCCCAUCUUCUCCGCCA